Molecule: ribosomal RNA, 274 nt
Filed under: uncultured bacterium
Lineage: Bacteria
Description: partial 16S ribosomal RNA
Rfam family: Bacterial small subunit ribosomal RNA
Source: RNAcentral
ACACGAACCGUACAAACGUUAUUCGGAAUCACUGGGCUUAAAGGGUGCGUAGGCGGCUUGGAAAGUUGGGUGUGAAAUCCCUCGGCUCAACCGAGGAAUUGCGCUCAAUACUGCCAGGCUAGAGGGAGACAGAGGUGAGCGGAACUUAGGGUGGAGCGGUGAAAUGCGUUGAUAUCCUAAGGAACACCAGUGGCGAAGGCGGCUCACUGGGUCUCUUCUGACGCUGAGGCACGAAAGCUGGGGGAGCGAACGGGAUUAGAAACCCGAGUAGUCC